Molecule: long non-coding RNA, 1380 nt
Organism: Daphnia pulex (common water flea)
Lineage: Eukaryota; Metazoa; Arthropoda; Branchiopoda; Diplostraca; Daphniidae
Exons: 4
Source: RefSeq, a predicted model, not a curated record
AAGGUCACGGAGAUCAUUACGUAAAAAAGAUAAAACUUUCAUGCACUGGUGUAGAGGUUGGGUGAGAACGACACGUGUUGCAACAUUAUCAAGUAGGUCUACAAUUGCCGCAAGGCUUGAGUUGAGAGGUAAGGGUGAGAAAAAGUCGUAUAAAAGGAGAGAGAAAAGGCCACAGAGUUCAGUCGAGUGAACGUCUACGACACGGCAACAACUGCAGCGCACCAGAUGACUUCUUCAUCUCAUUAUCAGUUCGCAAUCAUGGUUAACUAUGACGCCGUGCUGCAGUUGGGUGUUGCAUCGUUGAUGUCGACCACGAGAGAAAAUCAUACUGCAACAUACUCUGCUCCAUCUUAAAACACGGUCAACUGUGGGUCGUGCUGCUUCUCUUGGGUGUUUGUAUCGUUGAUGGCUGGGGCGACCACGGAGUACCGAUGUCUUUGAGUAUGGUGGAUACGAAACAGCAACGCCGCCGCCUUACUACACAACAAAGUCAAUAUACGCAACGUCUAGUUACUACACCGAGGCUCUCAAGUACUACACCGAGUUGUCUGCCCCAGCCUACUACACCGACGCUCUCAAGUACUACUCUUCAAGCUACUACAAAACUGAGGCUACUGUUUACUACACUAAGGCCACCGAGUAUUACGCUACAACCACAUGUUAACUAUGGCGUCGUUCUGCUGUUGAUUGUUGUAUCCUUGAUGAUUGGGUCGACAACGGGUGUACCGAUGUCUCGUGGGUAUGGCGGAUACCAACCCGCAAUGUCGCCGUCUUACUGCACGACAAAAAAAUACGCAACAACCGAAUACUACACCGCCAAUGCCCCAGAGUAGUACACAACAACUUAUGAUGUCCUGAACUACUACACCAAAGCCCCAAAAAAUAACUGCCCGAUUUACCACACGAAGGGAGCGGAGUACUACACCACGAAGGGAGCGGAGUACUACACCACGAUGGGAGCGGAGUACUACACCACAAACAACGCAACUUGCUACAUGGAGGUUCCUAAAUGCUAGAACCGAAAUUUCCAUUUGAUUUUAUUCAUAUUUGUCGGUUGUCUUCAUGUAAGACUUUUGGUAGUAACUUAAAGCCUGUCGUCAUUUUGACAGGUGUCUGUUGGUGUUGGACUUCUUCAAGGCCAGUAUCCUGCGCUGUGAUAUGUCUGUUUCAUAUUUUGGAGAUGACUAUUGCCUUAGUCGAUCUUCAUACGGACAUGUUCUUGUGUUUUGACGAUGUUACAAGGGUAGUUUACGAAAGAAACUUGUAACUGUUGAUUUUGAUAAGUCUUAUAAGUAAAAGGCAAGUGGAUGAACUUAUGACAAGUGAAGUAUAAAUGAAAGACUUUGAAGUUGAGAGAAAUAUAUUGAAACAAUUCCAAAA